AAGAUAUUAAGGAAUUCAAUGGGAAAAUAUCUAUAUCCAUUUCAUACUGUAUUAUAAGAUGGUAAUUAUCAAAAUAAUUUGGAACUAGCUAAGAAAUCGUGUGGUGAAUCACUGAAAUAGAUUAGAUAUAUAUUUUAUUAUAGUUAAUGAUCAUAGUAAUUUAGUGUGCAUAAAUCCAAAGAUCCAAGAUUUUGCAACAAAAAAUAAUUUAAUUUAAAAAAAUUGCUGGGAAAACUAGAAAAUGGUAUGACAGAAACUUGGUAUACAUCAGGACUCACACCUUAUAUCAAGACAAGGUCAAAAUGGGAUUAUGAUCACCCCAAAAGGGUGAUGAUACAAGCAAAAUAAGAGUUCAUGGAGUAGUUUAUCUGUCAGAUCUUUUGUCAGAUCUUGGCUAUCUCCACUGGAAUUAGGUCUUUCUAGUGUUUCUCUCUGAUUGUUCCUUAGUGGUUAGAUGCUUGACUACAUUGCAAAGUUAAAAAAAAAAAAUGAGGCAUUUUAUUUCAUCUAUUUUACAGAGUUUAUCAAGAGUAGUUUGCAAAAAGAAUAAUAAAUUCAAAUUAUAAUGAGGCAUAUUGUUAAAUGAUUAAAAAAUCAUGCAUACAAAAGUUCUUUAGAGGGGUGAACAAGAGAAAAGCUCUUGAAAAAUUAUUUCUGAUUUGAUAAGAAUCUAGGAAAACAAAAUUGGUCUGCUGCCUUGGUUCCAUGCCUUCUGCUAAUCACUGUUCUAUGUUAGUAAUUAGAGUGUGUGUUCAAGCUUCUUUCUAAAAGAAAAUAAUAACUGGAGGUAAUAGAAGAUAAUUAGAAUAGUGUGAACAAAAGCAAACUAGAAAUACAUGGCAAAUGUGAAUCCAGAUCAGCAGAUGUUUGUCUUAAAUAACCAUAUCAUAAAAGACUAUACAGUCCUACUCUAAAUAUUUUACACCAGUUUGAGUGGAGUCAACAUGUUUUAUCCAUAGUGUCUUUCAUACACUGAAAACAUUUAAAACAGGCAUUUUUUUUGAGGGAGGGGGAAGAGAGUUUUUCAUUUAAUGGAAAAUUUGUGAAUUUUUGAAAUUAUACUUAAAGCUCCAUUUUAAAUGGAGAAUCUUUUAGGCUGAAAGAUGAUUUUUGAAAAAAAUAUUUAUUUUCUCUUAUUAAAACAGAUAUUUAAUUCAGUUAUUCUAUAUAUAUAUAUAUAAUAUUUGAUAUAUUGUCCUACAAAACAGUGUUUAAAAUUUUUUGAGGG
RNAcentral lists this long non-coding RNA (1228 nucleotides) under Sarcophilus harrisii (Tasmanian devil). RNAcentral's name for it is "lncRNA (ENSSHAG00000022100.1)". Lineage: Eukaryota; Metazoa; Chordata; Mammalia; Dasyuromorphia; Dasyuridae. The record is from RNAcentral.